ACCUGGGUGGCUCAGUGGGUUAAGCAUCUGACUUCGGCUCAGGUCAUGAUCUCACAGUGUGUGGGUUCGAGCCCCACAUUGGGCU
This 85-nucleotide transfer RNA is filed under the name Felis catus (domestic cat). It matches the Rfam family "tRNA". Rfam says of the family: Transfer RNA (tRNA) molecules are approximately 80 nucleotides in length. Their secondary structure includes four short double-helical elements and three loops (D, anti-codon, and T loops). The record is from Rfam by way of RNAcentral. Lineage: Eukaryota; Metazoa; Chordata; Mammalia; Carnivora; Felidae.